Molecule: small RNA, 62 nt
Organism: Pseudomonas aeruginosa PAO1
Lineage: Bacteria; Pseudomonadati; Pseudomonadota; Gammaproteobacteria; Pseudomonadales; Pseudomonadaceae
Rfam family: Pseudomonas sRNA P37
Source: Rfam
CGACCUGCCGUCGCCUCUUGACGAAACUCGCUAGUCGUUAGCAUGACCGGCGGGUUUCGUCU